UUGAUUACAGUGUAGUACGUAGCAUCAUCUUAUUCAGAUAUAUAAUAUGCUUUUUGCAUAGAAUACUGCUGAACUAAGCCCGACUGGCUUGUGUGAAAAAAUUAUCUCAAGUGAAGUCGUCCAAUGAAUGUGGACUUCUCUUUUGGGUAUAAAAUAGGUGCAAAGUGUUACAUUAAUCUAGGUGUUGUGGUACCCAAAAUGUCAUAUACAAUAAUUGAUAUGAGAUAGUUGAUUUUGGGAAAUUGAAACAUGUCUCUUGAAGAUAAAGUGUCAAAGUAACUUGAUUAUUAACUGACGUUGAAAAACUAUAACUACUUAGUUUCAGCCUCUACCUUCGCCCCCCACUAACACUACUGCUAAGUGCUAACCCUCCUUGAUCUCAGCUAAUACGAAGUCCGCUGACUUCGUCCCUUCGACUUCCAAGUUCCAACUAUCCUGGAAGAACUCAUUUGACAGUAAGCACAACUAUUGGACUAAACUGCAGUUCCUUGUUUGGUUUGCAGUAUGGACAAAGAGGAUAUUUGGAAUACAGUUUCUACAGAAACUACAAACUUAUUCCUAGCAACAUUCUUUAUCCGUCAUGAGAGCUCACAAGUCUUCUCAGUAUGAUCCUUCAGCAAUAAUGGUCUUCUCGGUACGCUCCUUUACCGAUAAUGGGGGGUGGGGACCCAACACUGCACCGUCGUCGUCAUCAUCCAUACAAGUACACAUAUCAGGGCCAGCAUAACAGAAUACAGACCGUCCAUUUAAGCAAGCACAUCCACACCCUUUGUAAUCAUCUUAUUAGAGUGAACUUCUAUAUUUAAAGAAAGGAAAAAGGUAAAAACAAGCUCUCCCCUACUGCCACUAUCACCCCUAUCUCUACUUGUCAAUUCAGUCAAAGGGGAAUUCACAAUCCUACAACGUUUUUCACUCAUCAACAUAUCUCUAAGUUCAAAUAUUACAACUGCAAAAAUGAGGUCAUUGGGUGACAAAAGACAAACCUGCACAUUGCUUAUCUUCUGCCUUUUCCCUUUCGAGCAUCUAUUUAGAUUGAGUUGAGCAUCUUCUGGUUUGUCGAGAGAGGGGAUCUUUUGUAUGAAUGAUAGGAACGCAUCAGUAUGGGAAACAAUAGCAGAAGACCAACAAUGUCGGGAUAAUUCAUCAUCACCAUCAUCAUCUGCAUCUUUCAGGACAAUGGCAUACCUGAAAUUCCAACUCAGGAGGAGCCUCCCUUGGAAGUCUGAAAAAUUCCAAUAAGGCAUUCACAAUCACAUCAGCAAAUUACAGAAGAAUCCUCAAUACAGAUAAAGCUGAGGCAAACUCCAUUCUAAAACAAAAUAAAAGACUAAAGAAUAAUGCAGCUUACCAGUUAUAUAGGAACAAGUUGGAUGCAUCUCGUCAUAGAAAAUAAUCAACAAACACAAUAUCAAUGUCGAGCUGUGACGAACCAUAGAACUCCAUUCCAAACCCAAAAGACUAACGAACAGUGCAGCUUACCAAGUUUCGUAGGAAGAAGUUGGCUAUGCUGUAGAAGUACCAUAUGCAUCUCGUUACAAGACAAAAAAUAACAAAGUUAGUAUCAUAACAAACAAAAUAUCAAUGUCGCCCACAAAGACUAAAGAACAGUGUAGCUUACCAAUUAUAUAGGAAGAAGUUGACUGUAAUCUAAAGGUGCCAUGACCGAAAAGAUGCAUCUCGUAACAGAAAAAAUAUAACAAAGUAAGUACCAAUAAAAAACACAAUACCAAUGUCGAGCCGAACAUGGAAGCUAACCUUUUCACCAUGCUGACUCCUAUAGCAGCAGCAGCACUACUGUUCCACCAUAUGAUAUUCUUGGAGAGGUUCGAUGUGAUUCAGAGUAAGCUUACUAUCCCACCAUAUGAGCCUUAUGGUAAUAAGAAGCAUUUGCUUGGAGGGACCAUGGGUCUUCCAAAUUUCGUGCAACACCAUGCAUGUUUUGUUCUCACCAAAACACAUUGAAGAGAAAGCUAAAUCCUAAUAUAAGAUGUUGAACUUGAGAUAGAAAGUACAAAACAGACAAGGCAUGCUUAUUAAGGCAUCAGAAAUAUUAAGUCCAUUACAAGGCCAAAACACAUCAACAAAUAUUAGUAUGCAGAGCAAGCAAUCAAGUCAAGUUGUUCAAGAUAUGCAAUUCAGUUCCAACAACUCGUAACAUUAAUGCAGGAGCAGCCCUAAAUAAAGCCAAAAUCUUCAUAAGUGAGUAUUUAGAACAAACAUCAAAUCAAGUCGUUCAAGAUAUGCAUUUCAGUUCCCACUAAUCUUAACAUGAAUGCACUAGCAGCCCUAAACAAUGCCAAAAAUGUUUAUUAGCAAGUAUUUAGAAGAAGCAUCAAGUCAAGUUGUUCAAGAUAUGCAUUUCAGUUUCAACUAAUCUUAACAUGAAUGCACUAGCAGCCCUAAACAAUGCCAAAAAUGUUUAUUAGCAAGUAUUUAGAAGAAGCAUCAAGUCAAGUUGUUCAAGAUAUGCAUUUCAGUUUCAACUAAUCUUAACAUGAAUGCACUAGCAGCCCUAAACAAAGUCUAAAUGUUCAUUAGAAGAAGUCAACA
RNAcentral lists this long non-coding RNA (2550 nucleotides) under Linum usitatissimum (flax). Its description in RNAcentral is "long non-coding RNA (LUSI_LNC007444)". The record is from RNAcentral. Lineage: Eukaryota; Viridiplantae; Streptophyta; Magnoliopsida; Malpighiales; Linaceae.